This 160-nucleotide ribosomal RNA is filed under the name Pseudomonas aeruginosa. RNAcentral describes it as "partial 23S ribosomal RNA". It matches the Rfam family "Bacterial large subunit ribosomal RNA", at positions 2763 to 2925 of the family's 2925-position model. Lineage: Bacteria; Pseudomonadati; Pseudomonadota; Gammaproteobacteria; Pseudomonadales; Pseudomonadaceae. The record is from RNAcentral.
GAUAACCGCUGAAAGCAUCUAAGCGGGAAACUUGCCUCAAGAUGAGAUCUCACUGGGAACUUGAUUCCCCUGAAGGGCCGUCGAAGACUACGACGUUGAUAGGCUGGGUGUGUAAGCGUUGUGAGGCCGCCAGGGCGGCGCGCGCCCGGGGUCAGCGGAA